GAAAUGCGAUAAGUAAUGUGAAUUGCAGAAUUCAGUGAAUCAUCGAAUCUUUGAACGCACAUUGCGCCCGGCAGUAAUCUGCCGGGCAUGCCUGUCCGAGCGUCAUUUCAACCCUCGAGCCUAGGUUUUUACAAGCCCAAGGAUCGGUGUUGGGGCGCUACGGUUGUCAUCUGACCGCCGUAGGCUCUGAAAUACAGUGGCGGUCCCGCCGCGGCGCCUUCUGCGUAGUAGAUUUACAACUCGCAUUGGGUCCCGGCGAAGGCCAGCCGUCAAACCCUCUAUUCUUAUGGUUUGACCUCGGAUCAGGUAGGGUUACCCGCUGAACUUAA
RNAcentral lists this unclassified non-coding RNA (329 nucleotides) under uncultured Scedosporium. Its description in RNAcentral is "partial contains 5.8S ribosomal RNA, internal transcribed spacer 2, and large subunit ribosomal RNA". The stretch from base 1 to 105 matches the Rfam family "5.8S ribosomal RNA", at positions 50 to 154 of the family's 154-position model. Lineage: Eukaryota; Fungi; Ascomycota; Sordariomycetes; Microascales; Microascaceae. The record is from RNAcentral.